AUAAAUAGCUUUUACACCUGUAUAAAUAUAUAAGAGUAUGUGGUGUGGUUAUUAAUAUAAAGUCGUGGGAUAUAUAGUCAAAUGUAUGUAAUAUAUAUAUUAAAUACUUCGCCAUUUCCUUCUGAACACCUGUGACAUUUAAGAUCCUCAGAUCAAUGGGUUGCGUGUCUGAAUCUCAGUUCAGAGAUGUGCUUGGAAAGAUGCAUGCCGAAAUCGACGCCAGAGUGAUAAACUGAAAUCAGCAGAGAGAGCAGCUACUACCAUUAGGGAGAUCGAUGCACCACUACAUCAACAUGUUUAUCAUCUGCAGGAGUCAUUCCUGGCCCCAGAGUUUUUACAGUUGGUAAAAUACUGUAUUUCAAGUGAUGCAACCAUGAAAGGACUAAUGAAACUCAUCCAAACAGAGGCAGGGUUAAUAUCAGUUUCGUCAUAGUCCGACUCCAUCUCAAUCUUCACCUGGGGCACGGGGCAGGACAUCCCUCUGGUCAUCGGCAUCGCCGGAGAUGAUGGACAGGAGAUCUUCAGGUGCAGAGUGAUGCUGUGGAAUGGCAACUUCCAGUUACAAGAGUGAGGAGGAGAAAGAGGAGAGGGCUAUGAGAGGAAAGAGGAACAGCUAAGGAGCAGUCUGUAUUAAGAUGUUAGUUGCAGGUGACUGCAAGUGUUCCAGGGGAAAGAUCUGGGAUAAGGACACCCAAAGCAGGAGAAAGGGAAGAUGAUAGCGAGGAAUGUGGAUUUGAGGAUCCAGAGAAUAGCUAAGCACACAAUCUGCAGCAGUGUGAACAGGUGGACUCUUCUCAGCGGUACGUGACGCAGAUAUGGGAAAUCUGGCUGGUGUUUUGCUGGCAUCAUAAUCAGUUUGAUCCUGUCCCAGAACUAUAAAAGACAGGAUGUUUAAUUAGAUACGCAGUGGACAAAAAUGAAAAAUCUGUCAUUAUUUACUCACUCUAAUGUCAUUUCAAACCCAAGUGUCUCUUUCCAUCUAAUAAAAGUGCUUGAGGUCCAUCA
Molecule: long non-coding RNA, 1005 nt
Organism: Carassius carassius (crucian carp)
Lineage: Eukaryota; Metazoa; Chordata; Actinopteri; Cypriniformes; Cyprinidae
Exons: 5
Source: RefSeq, a predicted model, not a curated record